RNAcentral lists this transfer RNA (56 nucleotides) under Bos taurus (domestic cattle). It matches the Rfam family "tRNA", at positions 8 to 63 of the family's 71-position model. Rfam says of the family: Transfer RNA (tRNA) molecules are approximately 80 nucleotides in length. Their secondary structure includes four short double-helical elements and three loops (D, anti-codon, and T loops). RNAcentral also lists the same sequence under 3 other names. The record is from Rfam by way of RNAcentral. Lineage: Eukaryota; Metazoa; Chordata; Mammalia; Artiodactyla; Bovidae.
UGGCUCAGAGGGUAAAGCGCCUGUCUGUAAUACAGGAGACCGGGGUUCGAUCCCUG